RNAcentral lists this ribosomal RNA (455 nucleotides) under uncultured bacterium. Its description in RNAcentral is "bacterial SSU rRNA". It matches the Rfam family "Bacterial small subunit ribosomal RNA", at positions 467 to 917 of the family's 1533-position model. The record is from RNAcentral.
AAAUGACGGUACCUCCACAAGAAGCCCCGGCCAACUACGUGCCAGCAGCCGCGGUAAUACGUAGGGGGCGAGCGUUGUCCGGAUUUAUUGGGCGUAAAGAGCUCGUAGGCGGUUCAACAAGUCGGUCGUGAAAGUUCAGGGCUCAACCCUGAAAUGUCGAUCGAUACUGUUGUGACUAGGAUACGGCAGAGGUGAGUGGAAUUCCGAGUGUAGCGGUGAAAUGCGUAGAUAUUCGGAGGAACACCAACUGCGAAGGCAGCUCACUGGACCGCUAUCGACGCUGAGGAGCGAAAGCUAGGGGAGCAAACAGGAUUAGAUACCCUGGUAGUCCUAGCUGUAAACGAUGGAUACUAGACGUAGGAACUGGAUUGACGGUUUCUGUGUCGUAGCUAACGCGUUAAGUAUCCCGCCUGGGGAGUACGGUCGCAAGACUAAAACUCAAAGGAAUUGACGGG